GGGCUGCACCCAUGGCAUAUGGAGGUUCCCAGGCUAGGGGUCCAAUUGAAGCUACAGCUGCCUGCCUACACCGCAGCCACAGCACAGCCAGAUCACAGCCGUGUCUGUGACCUACAGCACAGCUCACAGCAAUGCUGGAUCCUUGACCUACUGAUCGAGGCCAGGGAUUGAACCCACAUCCUCAUGGAUACUAGUCAGAUUCGUUUCUGCUGGACCACAAUGGGAACUCCCAGAGAAAAGUUAUUUUAAAACAUUAACAGCUUGCCACUGACACUGAUUAUCUUAAUGAAUUUACCCAUGAACAUCUAUCUUGGUGUAGGAUCUGUAGCACUAAAACCACUGACCAGAACCUACAAUAACAGAAACAACUAGAAAUUUGUUUUGGGUUUGUGUUUCAUUUUCUUUGUAUGGCUGAAGUGAGAAACAGUGUAAUCAUGGGUCUGGUUAAAGCUUUGCAAUUGUUCUGGUACCCAUUUAACUCUGCCGAUGAACAACACACAUGUGACAGACUAAAAUCCAGACAGGAUCUGACAAGUAAGGCAUAUCCAACACAGGUCUUAUUAUUGUCAAGGUUUCUAGGUGUGGCUCGCUCAAGCAUAGUAAGAUCAUUUAGAGCUCUCUGAGUCAGUCACCCGCUCUCCCAUCUGUGUCUCCCCUUCCGAGUCAGACAUGGGCAGGCGCAGGACACUCUAUACAGAGCACAGAUCUGAGCCAAACAGUACAUUUCAGGAGAGUGCUAACUCAGGAAUAUCUCAUUUUUUUAUGAAGGAAAAUGAAGACAGGAAAAACUAUUAACUAAAAUACACAUCUACAAAAAUGAAAAAACUUACUUUUAAAAAUGUUCGUGAGGAGUUCCUGUCAUGGCUCAGUGGUUAACGAAUCCGACUGGGAACCAUGAGGCCAAUUUUUUUCAAGUUUGUACAGUACAUGUUGCUAUAAAAAGACGGUGCAAGUGAGGAGGACUUUUGGGACUCCUCUAAAACUUGAGUUUUAGGUUCCUUCAUAAUCUGAGGAAAACUGCUUACAUCAAGCAAGUUCCAUUAUCCAAGUUUAAUUACUAUGGUGACCAUCAGAAAUUUUCAACCAACUCCCAUAUGUUUAAGGGGACGUGUUAUCACGUUUUACCGUUCAUGAAACACUCAAAGAAUGAUGCCUGCCUUAGGGAACUCCAGAGACCUGUGAGUGAUGUUUAUGGGGGGGGUGCAUCUUUAAAUGAAGGUCACACAAACUGUUCCACAAAGUUUACAGGUAAUUAAAAUGAAUUUCUCCUCAUGUCUGAGGCCAAGUCUAACAGUUCUACUGUCAAUCAGUCAAAACUGAAUACAAAUUUCCCAAGUUCUGUGAUCAGUUGUUUUGAAUGUCUCUAUUUGCUCAAUCACCUAGAGCUCUGAGUCAGUGAGGCAGGACAGAAAAACUGUCAUGGCCAAGUGAGUCUGUGCAAUUUAGUCAGAGUACCAAAAAUCGUUACCAAGAGGCUGGCAUGCCUUAAUCCGAAAAACCUUAGCAAUAAGACCAAAACAAAACGCAAAAACUUUAAAACUCAAAAGCUCCAUUAAAGCUCAAAUUUCUUAAAUUAUUUCAAUGCUUUAAAAAUAUUCUUAGAAAAAAAAAUAUUCCUAGAUAGCAAAAGUUUUUGAUGGGUCUCCUUUGGCCUACAUGAUACUGACAAAGGAAGUGUGAGUGGUCCACAGUUGAUGAAAAGAAAAAUAACAGAAAAGAAGUUUAAAAAGCUACAGACUUGCCAGAAACACUGUAAUUCAAGCCUGGAAGUACUUAUAAAAGGACUUUUUUUUUUUAAUGAUUUUUAUUUUUUCUAUUAUAGCUGGUUUGCAGUGUUCUGUCAAUUUUCUACCAUACAACAAGGUGACCCAGUCACACAUACAUAUAUACAUUCUUUUUUCUCCCAUUAUCAUGCUCUGUCAUAAGUGACUAGAGAGAGUUCCCAGUGCGGACUUACUUGAUAGAGAUGACACUGUCAAGCAUUAUCCUAAUCUACUAAUUAAAAUCCUUAAGCUUGCAAAAAAUUGUCAUUAGUACAUGAAAGUUGCACUGAUUCUUUCCACAUUGAUUAAUUCAAAUUUCUCUUAUUAAUUCUUAUCCUUUUCUGUGUUUUCCAAAGGAAAACAGCAUCUACGGUACAUUGUUUUUUUAACUACAGAACAUAAAAUUAAGGGUAUUUAAGAAACUAUGGAAAACACAAAGUUUACAAAGGAAUUUUGAAUCAUUCAGUUUCCUAUCUAGACUUUUCUAUAGGCAUUUGAAAAUCCAUAACUAAAGGUAUAAAAAAUAUGUACAUAUUUUAAGUGUAGAAAACAUACACAGGAAUGUUUACAGCAAUGAUGUUUGUAAUAGCAAAAAACUAGAAACAACUACAACAUCUGCCAACUGGUAAAUGAACUAAUAAACUGAGGUGAAUUCACGCAAUGGAAUGCCAGAGCAGCAGGAAAACAAAAAAAGAACUACAAUAACUGCAUCAGCAAAAUCAAACCUCAUAAACAAUGCUGAGCCAAAAAAAAAAAAAAAAAAGGCAAGUCACAGAAGAAUACACACAGUACAGCAUGAUUCCACUCCUCAAGUCUAGAAACUUUCAAAACUAAAUCAUAUUUUGUUUGGGAUAUAUACAAACUGUGAAGCAAAAAUAGGGAAUGAGUAACAAAAUCCAGGAUGAUAGUUACACUGGAGGGUGAGCUGAUAGUUACCAGGACAGACUCAAGGGCCUUAAGAAGUAUUGUAAGGUUUUAGUUCAUAAACUAGAUCACAGACAACGUACUGCUCUUCCUCAGACUGUGCACAUACAUAAUAUAUACUCUUUUGUAUGUUCUAUUCCAUAAUAAAAAUGUAAAUACCGGAGUUCCCGUCGUGGCGCAGUGGUUAACGAAUCCGACUAGGAACCAUGAGGUUGCGGGUUCGGUCCCUGCCCUUGCUCAGUGGGUUAACGAUCCGGCAUUGCCGUGAGCUGUGGUGUAGGUUGCUAUGGCUCUGGGCGUAGGCCGGCAGCUACAGCUCCAAUUAGACCCCUAGCCUGGGAACCUCCAUAUGCCGCAGAAGCGGCCCAAAGAAAUAGCAAAAAGACAGGAAAAAAAAAAAAUUACGACUCCAAGUUUUUAAGAAGAAUAUAAGAAAAGUGGCAACUCAAGGAGUUCCCAUCGUGGUGCAUGGGAAACGAAUCCAACUAGGAACCAUAAGGUUGCGGGUUCGAUCCCUGCCCUUGCUCAGUGGGUUAAGGAUCCAGUGUUGCCG
Molecule: long non-coding RNA, 3240 nt
Filed under: Sus scrofa (pig)
Lineage: Eukaryota; Metazoa; Chordata; Mammalia; Artiodactyla; Suidae
Description: lncRNA (ENSSSCG00040022275.1)
Source: RNAcentral